RNAcentral lists this ribosomal RNA (496 nucleotides) under uncultured bacterium. RNAcentral describes it as "partial 16S ribosomal RNA". It matches the Rfam family "Bacterial small subunit ribosomal RNA", at positions 29 to 507 of the family's 1533-position model. The record is from RNAcentral.
ACGAACGCUGGCGGCGUGCCUAAUACAUGCAAGUAGAACGCUGAAGCUUGGUGCUUGCACCGAGCGGAUGAGUUGCGAACGGGUGAGUAACGCGUAGGUAACCUGCCUGGUAGCGGGGGAUAACUAUUGGAAACGAUAGCUAAUACCGCAUAAGAGUAGAUGUUGCAUGACAUUUGCUUAAAAGGUGCAAUUGCAUCACUACCAGAUGGACCUGCGUUGUAUUAGCUAGUUGGUGAGGUAACGGCUCACCAAGGCAACGAUACUUAGCCGACCUGAGAGGGUGAUCGGCCACACUGGGACUGAGACACGGCCCAGACUCCUACGGGAGGCAGCAGUAGGGAAUCUUCGGCAAUGGACGGAAGUCUGACCGAGCAACGCCGCGUGAGUGAAGAAGGUUUUCGGAUCGUAAAGCUCUGUUGUAAGAGAAGAACGAGUGUGAGAGUGGAAAGUUCACACUGUGACGGUACCUUACCAGAAAGGGACGGCUAACUACGUG